CUACGGGCGGCACCAGUGGGGAAUAUUGCACAAUGGGCGAAAGCCUGAUGCAGCAACGCCGCGUGAGGGACGACGGCCUUCGGGUUGUAAACCUCUUUUAGCAGGGAAGAAGCGAAAGUGACGGUACCUGCAGAAAAAGCACCGGCUAACUACGUGCCAGCAGCCGCGGUAAUACGUAGGGUGCAAGCGUUGUCCGGAAUUAUUGGGUGUAAAGAGCUCGUAGGCGGUUUGUCGCGUCUGCUGUGAAAAUCCGAGGCUCAACCUCGGACCUGCAGUGGGUACGGGCAAACUAGAGUGCGGUAGGGGAGAUUGGAAUUCCUGGUGUAGCGGUGGAAUGCGCAGAUAUCAGGAGGAACACCAAUGGCGAAGGCAGAUCUCUGGGCCGUAACUGACGCUGAGGAGCGAAAGCGUGGGGAGCGAACAGGAUUAGAUACCCUGGUAGUC
This 444-nucleotide ribosomal RNA is filed under the name uncultured bacterium. Its description in RNAcentral is "partial 16S ribosomal RNA". It matches the Rfam family "Bacterial small subunit ribosomal RNA", at positions 339 to 795 of the family's 1533-position model. The record is from RNAcentral.